This 541-nucleotide long non-coding RNA is filed under the name Oryza sativa Indica Group (long-grained rice). RNAcentral's name for it is "lncRNA OsMH63_12G001250". The record is from RNAcentral. Lineage: Eukaryota; Viridiplantae; Streptophyta; Magnoliopsida; Poales; Poaceae.
CGGAGUACGCCGGGCGCCGCCUGCACGACCGUUGAGACCAGCCACAACGCGUCCACGCCGACCAGCUGCGCCACGCUCGACGCCUGCCCGAGCGAACACCACAGGCCGCUCCUCGCCGGGAAGCAGCGCAUUCGCUCUCCGCCGCCGAUCUGGCCCCCGCUUCCCGCGUACGGGCCGGAGCUCCAGCCCCCACUCCACCCCGAGACCACGCCGCCGUCCCGUCGCUCCGCCUCAUGGGUCAUGGCCAGGUCGCCGCCGCUCCGCUGGAGGCCGAGAAAGCAAGCAAGGAAAAUAUCAAGUGAGGAAAAGAGCAAAGCAGACAAAAGAAACAGAUCGAUCAAUGCGAUGCUAUCUCUCUCUAUUCUUCUACUCCUGCUUGAGCUGUCGCGGAGCAAGAAGCGCCAGCACGGUGGUGUGGUCCUCGGGACCGCCGCGGCCGCCACCCACCUCACCUUCGUCGCCGCGGCUGCCGCCCACCUCGCCGCCCACGACGCGGAGAGGGGACAAGGAGCAGCGGCUGGGAGGUGGUAGGGGUGAUGGA